RNAcentral lists this unclassified non-coding RNA (417 nucleotides) under Hevea brasiliensis (rubber tree). The record is from RNAcentral. Lineage: Eukaryota; Viridiplantae; Streptophyta; Magnoliopsida; Malpighiales; Euphorbiaceae.
AUGACCUCUUUUAAGGACACCUGCUACAUUGACAUUCUGCCUAUCAACCAGAAGUCAAAAGGAGUAAUUUUCUUGAGCUUUUGGGCAGAGGUACACUACAAUUCAAUUUAUUUUCAAGGAGAUACAACUUCUAAUGAGCACCGAAAGAAGAAAAAGUGGUGGAGUUUUGGGAAUAAGCACUAGAUAUGGCUAGCUCUUGUGCGCUAAACGUCCUAUGUGUUAUUUGCUGCAAUGGCGUGAUCUUCUUGGCGCAAGGCCUUCUUGUAUUAUAUUUUAUAAACAUAAAAUUUAAGCUGCAAGUCUUUUAUGGGUAAGUUUAUAAUCGCAUUGUAUUGUUUUUUUUUUUAAGUUGUCUAGUCUCAAUUUUGCAGGCAUGCUUGACCUUUCUUCAGAAAAAGAGAGGAAAUCAAUCGCAAU